Long non-coding RNA from Talpa occidentalis (Iberian mole), 942 nucleotides. RefSeq lists it as uncharacterized. The transcript is spliced from 8 exons. NCBI's taxonomy places the organism in Eukaryota, Metazoa, Chordata, Mammalia, Eulipotyphla, Talpidae. The record is from RefSeq and is a predicted model, not a curated record.
CACCAAUUUACAUUUCCACCUCAAAAAAUUGCUGAAUAAUACUCCCUCUGGGAGUUCUGAUGCAGAUGUAAGUGAGAGUCUCCAGAUGGAUCAUUCCUGUAUGAGUUUUGGGUCACUCCAACUAACCUCAAUGACAAGACUAUGCAAAGUAAGAUCAGUCAGUCAGAAUGCUGGAGAUAUUUCUUCAUCCCCAAUAAGAUUCAGCCAUCAGUUUGGAAGGCGUGGUGUCUCACUCUCAUCAGCACAAUAUGAACCUGUGUUAUAACAUAACAUUGACUGACACAACAUAGAGCCUGAGACAGAAACUUCUUGAUGCAUAUUUGCCUUGAGUGGGUGAGUUAAAGAAAAGAGAAAGAAAAAGGUGAUGUGUUGUAGUGAAGGUGUGGCCUGGCAGUCUGGAGAAAUCUGUUAUUCCAAGAAGAUGGACCUUCAGACAAGGGAGAAGUCUCUGGAAAAAAGCAGGAUCCAAGUUAUACUAUAAGACAUGCCAUGAGGAUUUAAUGAGAUACUGUCUAUCAAGCACUGGGAAGAAUGUCUAGCACACACUGCAGAGUCAAUAAAGGUGUCCUUUGGAACAGCCAAGACAGAAACAUUUAGAAGUCUCUUUUCACUCCUCUGUGGAAAGUGUGGAAAUGAAUAAUGGACAUAGCUGCUACAACUCCCUUGCCUUAAUCCAACCCAGAUCUCAGCAGAAACCUAACACCAUUCCCGUGACCUUGAAAUUGCACCAGUACUUCAAAUCACCAAAUAAGAGAGAAUCCCAAGCCAGAAAAUGAAUUUGAUGAAUCACAUUGCAAGAGAGGACUAAAGUUAGCAUCUAAGUCAGCUUCAUCCAGAACCUACAAGCUAUGUAAUAAUUUUGAGCUUUACUUUUCAUCUAUGCAAUGGGGGAAACUGCUUGCAUUCAUGUGAAUGUCAUGAUUAUUAUAUUAAACACUUUAU